Molecule: unclassified non-coding RNA, 300 nt
Organism: Bos taurus (domestic cattle)
Lineage: Eukaryota; Metazoa; Chordata; Mammalia; Artiodactyla; Bovidae
Rfam family: Metazoan signal recognition particle RNA
About the family: The signal recognition particle (SRP) is a universally conserved ribonucleoprotein.
Source: Ensembl
GCCGGGCGCGGUGGCGCGCGCCUGUAAUCCCAGCUACUCGGGAGGCUGAGGCUGGAGGAUCGCUUGAGCUCAGGAGUUCUGGGCUGCAGUGCGCUAUGCCGAUCGGGUGUCCGCACUAAGUUCGGCAUCAAUAUGGUGACCUCCCGGGAGCGGGGGGCCACCAGGUUGCCUAAGGAGGGGUGAACCGGCCCAGGUCGGAAACGGAGCAGGUCAAAACUCCCGUGCUGAUCAGUAGUGGGAUCGCGCCUGUGAAUAGCCACUGUACUCCAGCCUGGGCAAUAUAGCGAGACCCUGUCUCUU